UUUUAGAUUUACAACAAAAUUGAGCAAAAGGCACAGAGAAUUCCUAUAUAACCACUGUCCCCCCACAUGCACAGCCUCUCCCAUUAUCAGGAUUGUUCACCAGAAGAGUACACGUUUUACCAAGGAUGAAUCUACAUCAAGACAGCAAAAUUACCCAAAGUCCACUGUUUACCUUAGAGUUCAUUCGUGGAUUUGGACAAAAGCAUAGAGACUUAUAUUCACCAUCAUAAUAUAUGGAAUAUUUACAUUGCCCUAAAAAUCCUCUAUACUUUGCCUAUUCAUCUCUCCCUUGUCCCCAUCUGGCAACCACUGAUUUUUUUUACUGUCUCCAUAGUUUUGUCUUUUCCAGUAUGACACAUCAUUGGAAUCAUAAGGUGUAGCCUUUUCAGAUUGGCUUCUUUCACUUAGUAGUAUUAAGUUUCCUCCAUGUCUUUUUAUAGCUUGAUAGCACAGUUCUUUUCAGUGCUAAAUAAUAUUCCAUCAUCUGAAUGUACCACUGUUUAUUAAUCCACUUGUCUACCAAGUUGCUUCUAAGUUUUGUCAAUUAUGAGUAAAGGUGAUUUAAACGCAGAUGUGCAGGUUUCUGUGUGGACAUAAGGUUUCACCUCCUUUGGGUAAAUAGUAACAAGUGCAAUUGCUAGAUCACAUGGUAAGGAUAUGUUUCAUUUUAUAAGAAACUUACAAACUAUCUUCCAAAGUGGUGGCACCAUUUUGCAUUCCCACUAACAAAGUAUGAGAAUCCUUUUGCUCCACAUCCUCACCAGUAUUUGGUGUUGUCAGUGUUCUGGAUUUUGGCCAUUCUAAUAGGUGUGUAGUGGUCGUUUUGUUUUACUUUGCAUUUCCCUAAUGAUAUGACGUAGAGUUCUCUUUGUAUAUACUCAUUUGACAUCUGUAUUAUCUUCUUUGGUGAGGUCUGUUAAGCUAGUUGGCCCAUUUUUUUAAUGAGUUAUUUUCUUAUUGUUGAGUUUUAAAGGCUCUUUAUACAUUUUGUAUAAUAGUCCUUUAUCAGCUGUAUUUUUCGCAAAUAUUUCUCCCAGUCUGUGUCUUGUUUUCUCAAUUCUUCUAAGGCCAUUGAUUCUUCAAGUCAGGAACUAGGUCAGAGAGCAGAAAUGGCUCGCUUCUGGUCCACAAGUCUAUGGCCUUAGCUGAAGAGUGGCUCAAAUGGCCGAGAGCUGCAAUCUGAUUCUCCAUUCAUGUACCUGGUACCUGAGCUAGCUGGAGGGCUGGGCUCAGCUGUGACUGUCAAAUGAGAGUAUUUCAAGGAGUCUCCUUAUAGUUACGGGCUUUUCACAGCACACCAGACACAGGUAGUCAGACUUCUUACACGAUGGCUGAGAGUUCCCAAAAUAAGUGUUUCAAUAGGCAAUAUGGAGUUGUAUGGCUUUUUAUGACCUAGCCUCUGAAGUCACAUAUGGUGAUUAUGAUCACUUUCACUAUAUUCCAUUGUAUAAGUCAAUCAUAAGCCCAACCAGAUUUCAGGGGAGGGGACACAAGGUAUACCUUUCUAUGGAAAGGACAUCAAAGAAGUUGUAGUCCUAUUUUAAAACUACCAUAUAGAGAGAUAUAGAGAUAUAUGCCAAAGAGCUAACAGUGCCCACUUCCCAGGGUCCCUCAAAGUGAAUUUUAUUAACUCAUUAUUUUAAGUCAGACUAACCCAAACACAUCUUUCAUGGAUGGCAAAAUUCCAUCUACUUAUUUUCAUAUACUACAGUAACAAACAGAAACUUUGUUUUAUCUAUAUAAACUGCAUCCAGAAUGACUAAUAUCUUACUUUUGGCCGUAUACCAUCUGCCAGUUACAACCAUUUCUUAUUUUCCAAACACUGAGAAGUUCAGAUCCACCCUCAGGCUUAGGCUAAGUCAUAUCCAGAAAGAAUACAGAGAAUACCUAUAGCAAGUAAAGCAAGUAGAUUUGGAUCAUUUCAGCAUUAUGAUUGCUGAAAUUGGUGGCCAUUGUCUAUAUCAGUGAUUGCUAGACUUUAGGAUUUCAUGAACCAAGAAAAAUUUCAGAAAUAAAAUAAACCAGAUGGGGGCAAAUAUAGUUACCAACAUUUUAUUUUCCUAGGAAAAAUAUUUAGAAAACAACUGCUCUAUAGCUAUCAUCACAUAAAAGAAUGGACAAUUUCAAAAUAAAGCACAAUCCUUAAGAGUAAGUCUUACUAAAUGAAAACUCACUAUAUAUUUUUUUUCUCAUUUCUCUGCUAAUCUGCAGAAACUUCCCCAUAGUUGAACCCCAGUUCACAAACUGGUAUGUAAAACCACUUGUGCAUCUGACAUUCUGGUCUCUUCCAUCUCUUGAUUUAUUCUAAUAGUUCUAGAACUUUAGCUUGCUCCUAGGAACAUGGGUCUAAAAGACAUACAAAUAAGUAAUUAUAAUACAGCAUGAAUGCUGUAAGGAUACAGGGGGAAAUGUCACAGAAGGUUUCAUCCACUGAGUGAAAAAAGUUUGCUCAUGUGCAAGAAUGAGGAAGACUAUUAAAGGUGGCAACGACUAUGGCUGAAAGCACAGAGGCCAUCUGUGUGUGCGGUAUAUCCAAGGAAGAUAUAUAUACUGUGUCCCAAAAAAGUAAGUAGUGGUUAUACUUGGUUGUAGAAUAAGGGUUACUUUUCUUCAUUCUUCUAUUUUCUGAAAUUUAACAAUGGAAUAUGCAUUAAUUUAAUGGCCAGGAAAUAAACAACUAUCGUAAUUUUGUAGACUACCCUAGGAAGAAAAAACAAAAGGCCUAUUUCCCUUUAAGAAAGCAGUUCAUAUUAAAAGAAGCCAGGUUGGAAAACGGAGAUGUUAAGGACUUGGAAGAUGGGUGCAGAAAUCCAGCUCCAGGAUCUGGCUAGGACAGAUGACAAGGGGAAGAUAACACUCCCUCAGUGCCUCUGUGAGAAUUCUAAGCUGGCUGCACUCAAUACUCAGGUCUUCUUGUCCACGGAGUCAUUAGUCAGAAAUUCUCAGGUGGCAGGUGCUGACAGGUCACUGCUUAGCAGUGCUUCUGGAGUCAAGGCACCAAGGUCAGAAUUCCGGCUCUAGCACUAAGUAGCUCAAAGAGCAAAAGCAAAUGACCAAACCACUUGAACCUGUUUCCUCAUCUGUAACGUGGAAAACUGCCUGCCUUUCUGGAUUUUGGUACAGAUCAAC
This 3129-nucleotide long non-coding RNA is filed under the name Canis lupus familiaris (dog). Its description in RNAcentral is "lncRNA (ENSCAFG00000056818.1)". Lineage: Eukaryota; Metazoa; Chordata; Mammalia; Carnivora; Canidae. The record is from RNAcentral.